UCUUAUUGUAAAUAUAAUAAUCUCUUAUUGCAUUGAAGUAAAAAAAAGAUAGAAAAUAAUUGACUAGUAAACAGAAAAAAAACUUUAGAAAUGUAAAGAAAAGACAGAACAUUUGGUCUGCAAUCUAGAUUCAUGUUGCUGGAAAUGUCAAAAAAUGAAAAGUCUUUAACCAGGAUUUUAGGUUAGGAGGCCAGGGAGCAAGGGCCAAAAUUUUCAUUUCGGCAAAAUAAAAGUCAGAAUGUUUAAUGCAAAAAAAAAUUGCCUUUUUACCGACCCUGUACCCUCAUGAUUGCAGAAAAACCAAGAUUGCUUUUAGUGAAGUAGAAAAAUUUAACACCAGGAUUAUCAAGAUUUGAUAUAGGGACACAGAUGUGCAUGAGGACAUAAAUUUGACUCUGACAUGUGUAAUGAUAAUCCUUGUGUUUCACUUUUAGUAUAAACAAACAUUUAAGGUGAACUUUUAGUAUAAACAAACAUUUAAGGUGAACAAACUUUUAGUAUAAACAAAUAUUUAUGUUCUGUAACAUCACAUUUAAAGGCAGUAUAUCUUGUAAAAAGAACAAGUCCCA
RNAcentral lists this long non-coding RNA (569 nucleotides) under Mytilus galloprovincialis (Mediterranean mussel). The record is from RNAcentral. Lineage: Eukaryota; Metazoa; Mollusca; Bivalvia; Mytilida; Mytilidae.